This 253-nucleotide ribosomal RNA is filed under the name uncultured bacterium. RNAcentral describes it as "partial 16S ribosomal RNA". It matches the Rfam family "Bacterial small subunit ribosomal RNA", at positions 524 to 776 of the family's 1533-position model. The record is from RNAcentral.
UACGUAGGGUGCGAGCGUUAAUCGGAAUUACUGGGCGUAAAGCGUGCGCAGGCGGUUGUGCAAGACAGAGGUGAAAUCCCCGGGCUUAACCUGGGGACUGCCUUUGUGACUGCAUGGCUAGAGUGUGUCAGAGGGGGGUAGAAUUCCACGUGUAGCAGUGAAAUGCGUAGAGAUGUGGAGGAAUACCGAUGGCGAAGGCAGCCCCCUGGGAUAACACUGACGCUCAUGCACGAAAGCGUGGGGAGCAAACAGG